AUGAUUCAGACCUUGGUGAGUGGCGGACGGGUGAGUAACACGUGGGUAACCUGCCCAAAAGUGGGGGAUAACAUCUGGAAACAGGUGCUAAUACCGCAUAACAACUACUUUCACAUGAUCGUAGCUUGAAAGAUGGCUCUGCUAUCGCUUUUGGAUGGACCCGCGGCGUAUUAGCUAGUUGGUGAGGUAAUAGCUCACCAAGGCAAUGAUACGUAGCCCGACCCUGAGAGGGUAAUCGGCCACAUUGGGACUGAGACACGGCCCAAACUCC
RNAcentral lists this ribosomal RNA (271 nucleotides) under uncultured Lactobacillus sp. RNAcentral's name for it is "partial 16S ribosomal RNA". It matches the Rfam family "Bacterial small subunit ribosomal RNA", at positions 74 to 339 of the family's 1533-position model. The record is from RNAcentral. Lineage: Bacteria; Bacillati; Bacillota; Bacilli; Lactobacillales; Lactobacillaceae.